RNAcentral lists this transfer RNA (60 nucleotides) under Dicrocoelium dendriticum. RNAcentral describes it as "tRNA-Arg". Lineage: Eukaryota; Metazoa; Platyhelminthes; Trematoda; Plagiorchiida; Dicrocoeliidae. The record is from RNAcentral.
GGUUUGAUAGCCAGAGAUUGGGGGUCGUGUUUCGGCCGCGAUUGUGGGUUGGUGUAAUCC